This 596-nucleotide ribosomal RNA is filed under the name Rhizobium rosettiformans. Its description in RNAcentral is "bacterial SSU rRNA". It matches the Rfam family "Bacterial small subunit ribosomal RNA", at positions 28 to 671 of the family's 1533-position model. Lineage: Bacteria; Pseudomonadati; Pseudomonadota; Alphaproteobacteria; Hyphomicrobiales; Rhizobiaceae. The record is from RNAcentral.
AACGAACGCUGGCGGCAGGCUUAACACAUGCAAGUCGAGCGCCCCGCAAGGGGAGCGGCAGACGGGUGAGUAACGCGUGGGAAUCUACCGUGCCCUACGGAAUAGCUCCGGGAAACUGGAAUUAAUACCGUAUACGCCCUACGGGGGGAAAGAUUUAUCGGGGGGUAUGAUGAGCCCGCGUUGGAUUAGCUAGUUGGUGGGGUAAAGGCCUACCAAGGCGACGAUCCAUAGCUGGUCUGAGAGGAUGAUCAGCCACAUUGGGACUGAGACACGGCCCAAACUCCUACGGGAGGCAGCAGUGGGGAAUAUUGGACAAUGGGCGCAAGCCUGAUCCAGCCAUGCCGCGUGAGUGAUGAAGGUCUUAGAUUGUAAAGCUCUUUCACCGGUGAAGAUAAUGACGGUAACCGGAGAAGAAGCCCCGGCUAACUUCGUGCCAGCAGCCGCGGUAAUACGAAGGGGCUAGCGUUGUUCGGAAUUACUGGGCGUAAAGCGCACGUAGGCGGAUAUUUAAGUCAGGGGUGAAAUCCCAGAGCUCAACUCUGGAACUGCCUUUGAUACUGGGUAUCUUGAGUAUGGAAGAGGUGAGUGGAAUUCCG